Molecule: ribosomal RNA, 490 nt
Filed under: uncultured bacterium
Lineage: Bacteria
Description: partial 16S ribosomal RNA
Rfam family: Bacterial small subunit ribosomal RNA
Source: RNAcentral
AUUGAACGCUGGCGGCAGGCCUAACACAUGCAAGUCGAACGGUAACAGGAAACAGCUUGCUGUUUCGCUGACGAGUGGCGGACGGGUGAGUAAUGUCUGGGAAACUGCCUGAUGGAGGGGGAUAACUACUGGAAACGGUAGCUAAUACCGCAUAACGUCGCAAGACCAAAGAGGGGGACCUUCGGGCCUCUUGCCAUCGGAUGUGCCCAGAUGGGAUUAGCUAGUAGGUGGGGUAACGGCUCACCUAGGCGACGAUCCCUAGCUGGUCUGAGAGGAUGACCAGCCACACUGGAACUGAGACACGGUCCAGACUCCUACGGGAGGCAGCAGUGGGGAAUAUUGCACAAUGGGCGCAAGCCUGAUGCAGCCAUGCCGCGUGUAUGAAGAAGGCCUCCGGGUUGUAAAGUACUUUCAGCGGGGAUGAAGGGAGUAAAGUUAAUACCUUUGCUCAUUGACGUUACCCGCAGAAGAAGCACCGGCUAACUCCGUG